CCUACGGGUGGCAGCAGGGAGGAAUAUUGGUCAAUGGACGAGAGGCUGAACCAGCCAAGUAGCGUGAAGGAUGACGGCCCUAUGGGUGGUAAACUUCGUUUAUAAGGGAAUAAAAUGUUCCACGUGUGGGAUUUUGUAUGUACCAUAUGAAUAAGGAUCGGCUAACUCCGUGCCAGCAGCCGCGGUAAUACGGAGGAUCCGAGCGUUAUCCGGAUUUAUUGGGUUUAAAGGGAGCGUAGGUGGAUUGUUAAGUCAGUUGUGAAAGUUUGCGGCUCAACCGUAAAAUUGCAGUUGAAACUGGCAGUCUUGAGUACAGUAGAGGUGGGCGGAAUUCGUGGUGUAGCGGUGAAAUGCUUAGAUAUCACGAAGAACUCCGAUUGCGAAGGCAGCUCACUGGACUGCAACUGACACUGAGGCUCGAAAGUGUGGGUAUCAAACAGGAUUAGAUACCCGAGUAGUC
Molecule: ribosomal RNA, 460 nt
Filed under: uncultured bacterium
Lineage: Bacteria
Description: partial 16S ribosomal RNA
Rfam family: Bacterial small subunit ribosomal RNA
Source: RNAcentral